Molecule: ribosomal RNA, 253 nt
Filed under: uncultured Bifidobacteriaceae bacterium
Lineage: Bacteria; Bacillati; Actinomycetota; Actinomycetes; Bifidobacteriales; Bifidobacteriaceae
Description: partial 16S ribosomal RNA
Rfam family: Bacterial small subunit ribosomal RNA
Source: RNAcentral
UACGUAGGGCGCAAGCGUUGUCCGGAUUUAUUGGGCGUAAAGAGCUCGUAGGCGGUUCGUCGCGUCUGGUGUGAAAGUCCAUGGCUUAACCGUGGAUUGGCGCCGGGUACGGGCGGGCUGGAGUGCAGUAGGGGAGACUGGAAUUCUCGGUGUAACGGUGGAAUGUGUAGAUAUCGGGAAGAACACCAAUGGCGAAGGCAGGUCUCUGGGCUGUUACUGACGCUGAGGAGCGAAAGCGUGGGGAGCGAACAGG